GGUGUAGGAGUUUUGCAUGAAGAGGUAGAGAGUAGAAUGCAGCCAAGGAUGACUUGCCGGCAUUUCCUCCCAGCUAGCUAGCAAGCCUUCUAUUUGGCAUGCCUGGCCGGCAGGAUGUCCUUGGCUAUAUUUUGUUCUCUUCUUCUCAUGUGAGACUCCAGGCC
This 164-nucleotide microRNA precursor is filed under the name Populus trichocarpa (black cottonwood). Lineage: Eukaryota; Viridiplantae; Streptophyta; Magnoliopsida; Malpighiales; Salicaceae. The record is from RNAcentral.